GAUGAACGCUGGCGGCGUGCCUAAUACAUGCAAGUCGAGCGAACGGACGAGAAGCUUGCUUCUCUGAUGUUAGCGGCGGACGGGUGAGUAACACGUGGAUAACCUACCUAUAAGACUGGGAUAACUUCGGGAAACCGUAGCUAAUACCGGAUAAUAUUUUGAACCGCAUGGUUCAAAAGUGAAAGACGGUCUUGCUGUCACUUAUAGAUGGAUCCGCGCUGCAUUAGCUAGUUGGUAAGGUAACAGCUUACCAAGGCAACGUUGCAUAGCCGACCUGAGAGGGGGAUCGGCCACACUGGAACUGAGACACGGUCCAGACUCCUACGGGAGGCAGCAGUAGGGAAUCUUCCGCAAUGGGCGAAAGCCUGACGGAGCAACGCCGCGUGAGUGAUGAAGGUCUUCGGAUCGUAAAACUCUGUUAUUAGGGAAGAACAUAUGUGUAAGUAACUGUGCACAUCUUGACGGUACCUAAUCAGAAAGCCACGGCUAACUACGUG
Molecule: ribosomal RNA, 497 nt
Filed under: uncultured bacterium
Lineage: Bacteria
Description: partial 16S ribosomal RNA
Rfam family: Bacterial small subunit ribosomal RNA
Source: RNAcentral